AUAAGGAGCUUGCUCCUUUGACGUUAGCGGCGGACGGGUGAGUAACACGUGGGUAACCUACCUAUAAGACUGGGAUAACUUCGGGAAACCGGAGCUAAUACCGGAUAAUAUUUCGAACCGCAUGGUUCGAUAGUGAAAGAUGGUUUUGCUAUCACUUAUAGAUGGACCCGCGCCGUAUUAGCUAGUUGGUAAGGUAACGGCUUACCAAGGCGACGAUACGUAGCCGACCUGAGAGGGUGAUCGGCCACACUGGAACUGAGACACGGUCCAGACUCCUACGGGAGGCAGCAGUAGGGAAUCUUCCGCAAUGGGCGAAAGCCUGACGGAGCAACGCCGCGUGAGUGAUGAAGGUCUUCGGAUCGUAAAACUCUGUUAUUAGGGAAGAACAUACGUGUAAGUAACUGUGCACGUCUUGACGGUACCUAAUCAGAAAGCCACGGCUAACUACGUGCCAGCAGCCGCGGUAAUACGUAGGUGGCAAGCGUUAUCCGGAAUUAUUGGGCGUAAAGCGCGCGUAGGCGGUUUUUUAAGUCUGAUGUGAAAGCCCACGGCUCAACCGUGGAGGGUCAUUGGAAACUGGAAAACUUGAGUGCAGAAGAGGAAAGUGGAAUUCCAUGUGUAGCGGUGAAAUGCGCAGAGAUAUGGAGGAACACCAGUGGCGAAGGCGACUUUCUGGUCUGUAACUGACGCUGAUGUGCGAAAGCGUGGGGAUCAAACAGGAUUAGAUACCCUGGUAGUCCACGCCGUAAACGAUGAGUGCUAAGUGUUAGGGGGUUUCCGCCCCUUAGUGCUGCAGCUAACGCAUUAAGCACUCCGCCUGGGGAGUACGACCGCAAGGUUGAAACUCAAAGGAAUUGACGGGGACCCGCACAAGCGGUGGAGCAUGUGGUUUAAUUCGAAGCAACGCGAAGAACCUUACCAAAUCUUGACAUCCUUUGACAACUCUAGAGAUAGAGCCUUCCCCUUCGGGGGACAAAGUGACAGGUGGUGCAUGGUUGUCGUCAGCUCGUGUCGUGAGAUGUUGGGUUAAGUCCCGCAACGAGCGCAACCCUUAAGCUUAGUUGCCAUCAUUAAGUUGGGCACUCUAAGUUGACUGCCGGUGACAAACCGGAGGAAGGUGGGGAUGACGUCAAAUCAUCAUGCCCCUUAUGAUUUGGGCUACACACGUGCUACAAUGGACAAUACAAAGGGCAGCGAAACCGCGAGGUCAAGCAAAUCCCAUAAAGUUGUUCUCAGUUCGGAUUGUAGUCUGCAACUCGACUACAUGAAGCUGGAAUCGCUAGUAAUCGUAGAUCAGCAUGCUACGGUGAAUACGUUCCCGGGUCUUGUACACACCGCCCGUCACACCACGAGAGUUUGUAACACCCGAAGCCGGUGGAGUAACCAUUGGAGCUAG
RNAcentral lists this ribosomal RNA (1396 nucleotides) under Staphylococcus haemolyticus. RNAcentral's name for it is "bacterial SSU rRNA". It matches the Rfam family "Bacterial small subunit ribosomal RNA". Lineage: Bacteria; Bacillati; Bacillota; Bacilli; Caryophanales; Staphylococcaceae. The record is from RNAcentral.